This 77-nucleotide transfer RNA is filed under the name Euptychium cuspidatum. RNAcentral describes it as "partial tRNA-Leu". The record is from RNAcentral. Lineage: Eukaryota; Viridiplantae; Streptophyta; Bryopsida; Ptychomniales; Ptychomniaceae.
GUUCGAAAUCGGUAGACGCUACGGACUUAAAAUCCGUUGGCUUUAUUGACCGUGAGGGUUCAAGUCCCUCUACCCCC